AGGCUCAGCACUGGUAAUGUAGG
Molecule: non-coding RNA, 23 nt
Filed under: Cricetulus griseus (Chinese hamster)
Lineage: Eukaryota; Metazoa; Chordata; Mammalia; Rodentia; Cricetidae
Source: RNAcentral